This 432-nucleotide ribosomal RNA is filed under the name uncultured microorganism. Its description in RNAcentral is "bacterial SSU rRNA". It matches the Rfam family "Bacterial small subunit ribosomal RNA", at positions 9 to 429 of the family's 1533-position model. The record is from RNAcentral.
GAGUUUGAUCGUGGCUCAGGAUGAACGCUGGCGGCGUGCUUAACACAUGCAAGUCGAACGGAGUACCCCUGAAGGAGUUUUCGGACAACUGAUGGGACUACUUAGUGGCGGACGGGUGAGUAACGCGUGAGUAACCUGCCUUGGAGUGGGGAAUAACAGCUGGAAACAGCUGCUAAUACCGCAUAAUAUAUCUGUGUCGCAUGGCAGUGGAUAUCAAAAGAUUUAUCGCUCUGAGAUGGACUCGCGUCUGAUUAGCUAGUUGCGGGGUAACGGCCACCAAGGCGACGAUCAGUAGCCGGACUGAGAGGUUGGCCGGCCACAUUGGGACUGAGACACGGCCCAGACUCCUACGGGAGGCAGCAGUGGGGAAUAUUGGGCAAUGGGCGCAAGCCUGACCCAGCAACGCCGCGUGAGAGAAGGCUUCGGUGUAAC